Molecule: ribosomal RNA, 219 nt
Filed under: uncultured bacterium
Lineage: Bacteria
Description: partial 16S ribosomal RNA
Rfam family: Bacterial small subunit ribosomal RNA
Source: RNAcentral
CCCUCAGAGGGGACAACAGUUGGAAACGACUGCUAAUACCGCAUACGAUCUAAUCUCGGCAUCGAGGAUGGAUGAAAGGUGGCCUCUACAUGUAAGCUAUCACUGAAGGAGGGGAUUGCGUCUGAUUAGCUAGUUGGAGGGGUAACGGCCCACCAAGGCGAUGAUCAGUAGCCGGUCUGAGAGGAUGAACGGCCACAUUGGGACUGAGACACGGCCCAG